UUAAAUAUUUAAGGGCUUAUGUUGGAUUCUUUGGAACUUAUAGGCGAUGAAGGGCGUAGUUACUGACGAUAUACUUUGAGGAGCUAGAAACAAGCUUUGAUUCAAAGGUCCCCUAAUGGGAAAACCCUUUUAAACUUUUAUAGAAUUUAUUUAUAAAAUGUGGCAAACUUGGUGAACUGAAACAUCUUAGUAACCAAAGGAAAAGAAAGCAAAUGCGAUUUUCUGAUUAGUGGUGAGCUAAAAGAAAAAUAGCCUAAACCUUUUUAGGGGUUGUGGGAAAACUUAAUAUAAUAUUUUUUUUCUAUGAAAUUGUUGAAUACAAUGCAAAAUAAGGUUGAAAGCCCUGUAGUAGUAAAGUUAUGUAUUAUUUGUUUUAUCCCGAGUAGUAUAGAACACGUGAGAUUUUAUGUGAAUCAACGAGAACCAUCUCGUAAGGCUAAAUACUAAUAAGUUACCGAUAGUGAACUAGUACUGUGAAGGAAAUGUGAAAAGAACCCUGAUAAGGGAGUGAAAUAGAUUAUGAAAGCAUAAGCUUACAUGCAGUAGGAGGUCUCUUAAAAGUCUGACUGCGUGCCUGUUGAAGAAUGAGCCGGCGACUUAUAAUUAGUGGCUUGGUUAAAAUUUUUUAAAUUGAAGCCAUAGCGAAAGCGAGUUUUAAUAGAGCGUUGUUGUCACUAAUUAUAGACCCGAACCCAAGUGAUCUAACCAUGACCAGGAUGAAGCAGGAGUAAAAUUUUGUGGAGGUCCGAACCCACUAAUGUUGAAAAAUUAGGGGAUGAGUUGUGGUUAGCGGAGAAAUUCUAAUCGAACUUGGAGCUAGCUGGAUCUCUUCGAAAUGCGUUGAGGCGCAGCGACUAAUUAUGAACUAUUCAGGGGUAAAGCACUGUUUCGAUGAGGGCUACGAAAGUGGUACCAAGUUGUGGCAAACUAAGAAUACUGAAUAAUGUUAUUCAAUUGGUUAGUGAGACUGUGGGGGAUAAGCUUCAUAGUCAAAAGGGUAAUAGCCCAGAUCACCAGUUAAGGCCCCUAAAUAAUUGCUAAGUGACAAAGGAUGUAUUGAUGCGUAGACAACCAGGAGGUUUGCUUAGAAGCAGCAAUCCUUUAAAAAGUGCGUAAUAGCUUACUGGUCAAGUGCCUUUGCGCCUAUAAUGUACGGGACUAAGUAAUUUGCCGAAACUGUGAGUUAAAUCGGUAGAAGAGCGUUCUGAUUGGUUUGAAGUAAUAACGAAAGUAAUUAUGGACUUUUCAGAAGUGAGAAUGUCGGCUUAAGUAACGAAAACAUUGGUGGGAAUCCAAUGCUCCGAAAACCUAAGGUUUCCUUUGCAAGGUUCGUCCACGAAGGGUUAGUCAGGUUCUAAAAAGAGGCCGAACGGCGUAUUUGAUGAAUAGCAGGUUAAUAUUCCUGCACUACAUUAAGUUUGAUUAAGAGGGACGAAGAAGGCUAAGUUAGCCAAAGAUUGGUUGUUUUGGUUUAAACUUUCGAGAUGUUGAGAAACUUAAUUAAAAAAUGUUUUGAGUUGAGAAGUGAAUACGAAGAUACUAAGGUAUUGAAGUAACUUAUGUCAUGCUUUCUAGAAAAUCUAUUGUAAUCGUCAAUUUAAUGUACCUGUACCGUAAACUGACACAGGUAGGUAGGUAGAGUAUACCAAGGAGCGCGAGAGAACUCUUUUUAAGGAACUCGGCAAAAUAGCCUUGUAACUUCGGGAGAAAAGGUGCCUUAAUAAAAUAAUUAAGGUCGCAGCGAUCAGAUCCAGGCGACUGUUUACCAAAAACACAGGUCUCCGCUAAGUUGAAAAACGAUGUAUGGGGGCUGACGCCUGCCCAGUGCUGGAAGGUUAAAAAAAUUGGUUAGCAUUAGCGAAGCUAGUAAUUGAAGCCCCAGUGAACGGCAGCAGUAAAUAUAACUGUUCUAAGGUAGCGAAAUUCCUUGUCGGGUAAGUUCCGACCUGCACGAAAGGCGUAACGAUCUGGAAACUGUCUCAAAAAGAGACUCGGUGAAAUAGAAUUAACUGUGAAGAUGCGGUUAACUUGCACUUGGACAGAAAGACCCUAUGAAGCUUUACUGUAACUUGAUAUUGUUUUCGGACUUUUUUUGCGCAGCAUAGGUGGGAGGCUUAGAUUCUUUUUUUCGGAAAAUGAGGAGCCAUAAAUGAGAUACCACUCUAAAAAAGUUAGAAAUCUAAUGAUGUUUCUUUAUCAGAACAUUUGACAGUGUCAGGCGGGCAGUUUUACUGGGGCGGUAGCCUCCCAAAAGGUAACGGAGGCGUACAAAGGUUUUCUCAGACUGUAUGGAAAUUUGUUUUAGCGUGUAAAGGCAUAAGAAAGCUUAACUGUUAGACUAACAUGUCAAGCAGAGACGAAAGUCGGUCUUAGUGAUCCGACGAUACUGAAUGUAAAGGUCGUCGCUUAACGGAUAAAAGUUACUCUAGGGAUAACAGGCUGAUCUCCUCCAAGAGUUCACAUCGACGAGGAGGUUUGGCACCUCGAUGUCGGCUCAUCGCAACCUGGAGCGGUAGUACGUUCCAAGGGUUGGGCUGUUCGCCCAUUAAAGCGGUACGUGAGCUGGGUUCAGAACGUCGAGAGACAGUUCGGUCCAUAUCCGGUGUAAGCGUUAGAGUAUUGAAAGGAUCUUUUUCUAGUACGAGAGGACCGAAAAAGACACACCUCUGGUGUACCAGUUCUUAUGCCAAUAGGAAAUGCUGGGUAGUCAAGUGUGGAGUGAAUAACUGCUGAAAGCAUAUAAGUAGGAAGUCCACCUUAAGAUGAGUACUCUUCUAAUUUUAGUAAGGUCACAACUAGACUAGUUGUUAAUAGGUACUAAGUGUAUAUUUAGUAAUAAAUGUAGCUGAGGUAUACUAAUAGAUCGAUAGUUUUAUCUUA
This 2880-nucleotide ribosomal RNA is filed under the name Phacus pleuronectes. Its description in RNAcentral is "bacterial LSU rRNA". It matches the Rfam family "Bacterial large subunit ribosomal RNA". Lineage: Eukaryota; Euglenozoa; Euglenophyceae; Euglenales; Phacaceae. The record is from RNAcentral.